GCAUUGUAUGAAAGAUGGUUAGCACUCCCCUUCACAGAAACAGAAGAGGUCCUCAGGCCUAACAGUACACAAAGAGUUAAAGCAUCCCUACCCACUUGGUACCAUCUUAUCAACAUGUUUCA
Small nuclear RNA from Apodemus sylvaticus (European woodmouse), 122 nucleotides. The record is from RefSeq and is a predicted model, not a curated record. Lineage: Eukaryota; Metazoa; Chordata; Mammalia; Rodentia; Muridae.